Molecule: ribosomal RNA, 253 nt
Filed under: uncultured bacterium
Lineage: Bacteria
Description: partial 16S ribosomal RNA
Rfam family: Bacterial small subunit ribosomal RNA
Source: RNAcentral
GACAGAGGGUGCAAACGUUGUUCGGAAUUACUGGGCGUAAAGCGUGUGUAGGCGGUCCUCUAAGUCGGGUGUGAAAGCCCAGGGCUCAACCCUGGAAGUGCACUCGAAACUGGAAGGCUAGAGUACCGGAGAGGUUGGUGGAAUUCUCGGUGUAGAGGUGAAAUUCGUAGAUAUCGAGAGGAACACCGGUGGCGAAGGCGGCCAACUGGACGAGUACUGACGCUGAGACACGAAAGCGUGGGGAGCAAACAGG